UACGUAGGUGGCAAGCGUUGUCCGGAUUUAUUGGGCGUAAAGCGAGCGCAGGUGGUUUCUUAAGUCUGAUGUGAAAGCCCACGGCUCAACCGUGGAAGGUCAUUGGAAACUGGGGAACUUGAAUGCAGAAGAGGAGAGUGGAAUUCCCAGUGUAGCGGUGAAAUGCGUAGAUAUUGGGAGGAACACCAGUGGCGAAGGCGGCUCUCUGGCCUAACCCUGACGCUGAGGCGCGAAAGCGUGGGGAUCAAACAGGAUUAGAUACCCUGGUA
RNAcentral lists this ribosomal RNA (269 nucleotides) under uncultured prokaryote. RNAcentral's name for it is "partial 16S ribosomal RNA". It matches the Rfam family "Bacterial small subunit ribosomal RNA", at positions 524 to 792 of the family's 1533-position model. The record is from RNAcentral.